Pygocentrus nattereri (red-bellied piranha) is the source of this 654-nucleotide long non-coding RNA. The record is from Ensembl. Lineage: Eukaryota; Metazoa; Chordata; Actinopteri; Characiformes; Serrasalmidae.
AACCCCCCCCCCGGCAACCCUGAGGGAGAAGCGGCUUAGAAAAUGGAUGGAUGGAUGAAUAAUUAGACAUAUCAUUCUGAUAGGUGAUCAAAUGAAAAGCUCUCGGUGAGGGGACUCAGACUUUUGGACCCCGCUCAAUGUAGCAUUUAUUUUCUUCUAGUUAUCAAAUUAUGUCUCCACAUCAGUGGCUGGAUCUACUGAGUGAAUCUGAUGUCUGAUGGAGUCUGCUAAUAGGUGAUUGGUCUAUCCAGAGAGCCUGAUUUGCAUAGACCGACUGCAGUACAGUAAGGCAGGUAUGUUCUCCCUGCGCUCUGCUGGUGUCUGAUGUAAACAGUGUGUUGCUGUGGGCUCCCGCAGGUUUCAGAUGCAGAUGCUUUCUCUGGCACACAGGUCUGUGAGGAGGAGAGCCGGAAGUUUCACGGCUUAAUUGAUGCCUUUCCACGUAACCAUGACAACUCGAGGAGACAGGCCGUCACUAUGGAGAUCGGAACUGAUGUCAGAGUCUCUGUCACACAUGGCUUUAGUGAGGAGGGGGGCGUUUACUGACGGGCUGAAGACUAAUAUUUUUACAGUGGAGGGAGGAGUGAAUGGGGGCUGCUGAAGGAAGCGUCCCGACUGAGCUCCACAGGGGGGCUGUGCUUAGGAAAUCUAAAC